Molecule: ribosomal RNA, 250 nt
Filed under: uncultured bacterium
Lineage: Bacteria
Description: partial 16S ribosomal RNA
Rfam family: Bacterial small subunit ribosomal RNA
Source: RNAcentral
AACGUAGGAGGCGAGCGUUAUCCGGAUUUACUGGGCGUAAAGCGCGCGUAGGCGGUCGGUCAAGUCGGACGUGAAAGCCCCUGGCUCAACUGGGGGAGGCCAUUCGAUACUGAUCGGCUUGAGGGUGAGAGAGGAAAGUGGAAUUCCCGGUGUAGCGGUGGAAUGCGUAGAGAUCGGGAGGAACACCAGUGGCGAAAGCGGCUUUCUGGCUCACCCCUGACGCUGAGGGCGCGACAGCGUGGGGAGCAAA